GUGUUUGUACGUGCUUGGGGAGUAGAUAGAUAGACAGCAUACACAAGAGGUGUGGAUUGCUUGUGAGGAGGGAAAGACAGAGGCUUCUCUUUAAAUAACAAGCUUCAGAUUCAGGGCUGCCACGUUUGCGCCUCCCUCUCAAGAUUAGAUGAAAAUGAAUGCGGGAAAUGGGGCCCCAACUCACGUGCAUGCAAAGGUCUUGUAGCUGCACAGGGAAUUGGAAUGAAGCAUACGAUUUAUUCACGAGCAGAUUUUGUGGGGAAACAAAACGGCCGUUCUCCUUUAUAUAUAUCCUUCCCUGUGGUCCAAGAGAUCACGUGCAAUUAGAGCGCUAGUAUGUCCAGUUUGGCAGCUAAUCCAAGAUCCAUAUGCAUUAUGGAGGAUACCAAGCUCUAAGAAACAAGGAGGGAAGCAAGUAAAAAAAAAGUCAUCUCAGGCAAGCCUAACAGCUCAUUUGCUUUGCAGAAUUUAGUCAGUUUACCCAGAUGGCUAUGAAUGUGCUUUACCCGGCAUCCUCGGCGGUUUUGCCCCCGUGUUCAAUGAUAGACAUGGUUGUCCGUACGUUUAAUCUAUAGAGG
Molecule: long non-coding RNA, 578 nt
Organism: Triticum aestivum (bread wheat)
Lineage: Eukaryota; Viridiplantae; Streptophyta; Magnoliopsida; Poales; Poaceae
Exons: 3
Source: RefSeq, a predicted model, not a curated record